UCCUACGGGACGCAGCAGUGGGGAAUAUUGCACAAUGGGGGGAACCCUGAUGCAGCGACGCCGCGUGAGUGAAGAAGUAUUUCGGUAUGUAAAGCUCUAUCAGCAGGGAAGAAAAUGACGGUACCUGACUAAGAAGCCCCGGCUAACUACGUGCCAGCAGCCGCGGUAAUACGUAGGGGGCAAGCGUUAUCCGGAUUUACUGGGUGUAAAGGGAGCGUAGACGGUUAUGCAAGUCUGAAGUGAAAGGCAAGGGCUCAACCUUUGGACUGCUUUGGAAACUGUGCUGCUAGAGUGUCGGAGAGGCA
Molecule: ribosomal RNA, 305 nt
Filed under: uncultured bacterium
Lineage: Bacteria
Description: bacterial SSU rRNA
Rfam family: Bacterial small subunit ribosomal RNA
Source: RNAcentral